UUCAUGAAACCGAGGAUAAAAGGUUACAUCUUUCAAACGUACUUAAUUAUUACAUCGUCUAUGUAAUAAUAGUAACUAUGUAAUAAUUGCAGUAAAUAUUAUAUCGAUAUAACCACGCAUUUUAAUCGAAAAGUUUAUGAUUAUAACCUGUCUCUUAUUUCAACAACAGAGAAGCUGAUUAAGAAGCGCUCGGUUUACGAUGUUUGCGGAACAUGUCAAUCUUCCUCCAGUCUCACCAACAUGCGCAUGCACGGUGAGGCUACGUGGGAGGAGCUGAAACAGGCUUCAAGCUACCAAGGGAUCUUGUAUCCGACGCCCCUAUUUAUAUAGAAUUCAGGAUGUCUAUGUAUGCGAAUUGGUAUAUCAAUAUGCAGAAGGACGAUGGACAGUCGUAUGACUUCAUCGAAGUAGUAAGCGCAAAACGAAAGGAACUUUGCCCGUGGGACGCUUUGCUGCCUGCUCAUCGAGUUUAGUGUAGACAGCAUAGGAUGAAGAAGCCAGCGAGAAAGAUGAAGUGGCAGUAUGUCCUUGAGGCCACGCGCCUCGAGUGCACCGUAGAAGGUGUUUUAUGGGCCCCCAUAAUGGUGCCGGCAAUCCUUAUUCUGUUUCUUCCUCUUAGCUCGUACCUUAUUCACUCGUUUUCUUUUCUACUUUUUUUUACCUCUCUCUCUCUCUCUCUCUCUCUCUCUCUCUCUCUCUCUCUCUUUCUUUCUUUCUCUUUUUUUCUUUUCCUCUUUCUCUCUCUACUAUUUUCUCGUUUUGCGUGGUAUUUCUAGUCGACUUUGUCGAUUCAUUGUACCUUGAGUUGUUACGCUUUAUUACCGUAAAGGAAGACAGUAUGGAACUCGAGGAACGUUGCGAAAAUUUAGGAAGAAGAAGAAGAGAGAGAAAAAGACAAGUAGAAGGUACCUUAAGAAACUUUCAUAUUUACAAGGCCAUUGCCAGAAACAGGAAUUGUACCGUCAUAAACGGUACAAUUCCUGUUUGCAAUAUUACUUAUUUUCAUUAAAACGGCUCCUGGCGGGUGGUUACUUUGAAAACAGCAACCAAGGACGAAAAGUCUGUACCGUAAGCGUGCCAUGAGAUAUAAGCUCGAGAUAUUUAUCAUACUUUCUCAUUUCUCAUAAUUUUGUAACAUAACGACAGUUGUUAUUUAUUUAUAAUUUAUUUGCGAAUAUUCGAAUCUACAUAGCUUUUUAUCUUUUCUCUUGAUCGAGCUUAUCAUCGAAUAAUAUUCACUUAUCGCUUUGUUAGUAGAACACAGAUGUUUUAAAUAGAUUUCGUCGUUGAACGACGAGAUACAGUUCGUCCUUUCUCGUUGACAUCUCAUAUUAAAAUAAACAACGUCGGACCUAUGACCAAAAGUAUAUACCAUAUAUGUAUGUACAUAUGUAAUUAAGUAAGUACAUU
Long non-coding RNA from Vespa crabro (European hornet), 1410 nucleotides. RefSeq lists it as uncharacterized. NCBI's taxonomy places the organism in Eukaryota, Metazoa, Arthropoda, Insecta, Hymenoptera, Vespidae. The transcript has 3 exons. The record is from RefSeq and is a predicted model, not a curated record.